RNAcentral lists this microRNA (20 nucleotides) under Chrysemys picta (Painted turtle). RNAcentral's name for it is "cpi-miR-130a-3p". Its record names the gene cpi-miR-130a-3p. The record is from miRBase by way of RNAcentral. Lineage: Eukaryota; Metazoa; Chordata; Testudines; Emydidae.
CAGUGCAAUGUCAAAAGGGC